AUGCUUCUCCUAAAGACUAAGCCAUGCAUGUCUUCGAAUAAGAGGAAGCAAUUCUCUCUGAAUCUGCGAACGGCUCCGCAAACCAGUUGUAAACUAUAGCAAGCAAGCCCGGGCAGCCCUUUGCGGGGAGGCUCGGGCAACACGGAUAUCCCUGGUAAUUCUGAGGCUAAUACGAGAGCGCAAUUCCUGGACGACUGGGGCGACCUAGAAGUCUGGGAGGCGUGCAAGUUAUGUCGCGAGAAAUCGCCGGGAAUGGAUGCACGCCUGGACCGCGCCAAAGACAGAUGGGUGACCCCGGCCUUCACCGGUUAGGGAUGCCUGCCUGAGCGGCUCUUGCUGUGUGCUUCUGACCUAUCAACUAGACGGCAGCGUAAGGGACAUGCUAUGGUUACAACGGGUACAGAGGAUUAGGGUUCGAUCCUGGAGAGUGGGCCUGAGAGAUUGCUCAUACUUCUAAGGAAGGCAGCAGGCGCGCAACGUUCCCCUUGUGCAAUGCAUGAGGGCGUUAGGGGACAUAUGGAUGCCUGCCCAUUGGGUGGGCAAUUCAAAUGGGUCUGUUCUAAACAGGCUC
Molecule: ribosomal RNA, 571 nt
Filed under: Didymium squamulosum
Lineage: Eukaryota; Evosea; Eumycetozoa; Physariida; Didymiaceae
Description: SSU rRNA
Rfam family: Eukaryotic small subunit ribosomal RNA
Source: RNAcentral